Helianthus annuus (common sunflower) is the source of this 378-nucleotide long non-coding RNA. RefSeq lists it as uncharacterized. The transcript is spliced from 3 exons. The record is from RefSeq and is a predicted model, not a curated record. Lineage: Eukaryota; Viridiplantae; Streptophyta; Magnoliopsida; Asterales; Asteraceae.
UUGGGAUCCUCUGUAGGUGGGGAUGGGGGAAUGAUCCUCCCCAUGGUCAUCAUCAUAGGAUCCCUACGGGUUGUCAGUCGUCUAAAUGCAAGAAAACCCGUUCGGUUGGAAGAAGCCUCAAUCUAUAUGAAGCAUUUAAAAAAAUGGUAAUAAGCCACUCCCCCUUGAAUAUAGUACAACAGAACGCCAAUUUAGGGCCGUGGGAGACAAUUAUCAGAUGUAUGUGAGGAAGAUAUCCCAAGAGGUCGAUUCAGAGGUUCCUUACCAUUAUUCUAGUUGGAAGAAUGUUGAUGCUAAGUAUAAAAAGGCCAUACUUGCCACAAUUGCUUUUCCAAAAUACGGAGCACUGGGAUGCAAUCAAGGAAUCGAUACGAGUAG